RNAcentral lists this ribosomal RNA (440 nucleotides) under uncultured bacterium. RNAcentral describes it as "partial 16S ribosomal RNA". It matches the Rfam family "Bacterial small subunit ribosomal RNA", at positions 338 to 795 of the family's 1533-position model. The record is from RNAcentral.
CCUACGGGGGGCAGCAGUGGGGAAUAUUGCACAAUGGGGGAAACCCUGAUGCAGCGACGCCGCGUGAGCGAUGAAGGAUUUCGGUAUGUAAAGCUCUAUCAGCAGGGAAGAAAAUGACGGUACCUGACUAAGAAGCCACGGCGAACUACGUGCCAGCAGCCGCGGUAAUACGUAGGGGGCAGGCGUUAUCCGGAUUUACUGGGUGUAAAGGGAGCGUAGACGGCUGGUCAAGCCAGAUGUGAAAGCCUGGGGCUCAACCCGGGGACUGCAUUUGGAACUGUGUGGCUGGAGUGUCGGAGAGGCAGGCGGAAUUCCUAGUGUAGCGGUGAAAUGCGUAGAUAUUAGGAGGAACACCAGUGGCGAAGGCGGCCUGCUGGACGAUGACUGACGUUGAUGCUCGAAAGCGUGGGGAGCAAACAGGAUUAGAUACCCUUGUAGUC